GACGAACGCUGACGGUGUGCUUUAGGCAUGCAAGUCGAACGAGAAAGCCCUUCGGGGUGAGUAAAGUGGCGAACGGGUGAGUAACACGUGGGCAACCUGCCCCUCGCAGGGGGACAACCAGGGGAAACUCUGGUUAAUACCCCGUACGUUCUCAGGGUCGCAUGGCCCUGGGAGGAAAGGUAGUUUUGGCCAUCCGGGAGGGAUGGGCCCGCGGUGCAUUAGCUAGUUGGUGGGGUAACGGCUCACCAAGGCAACGAUGCAUAGGUGGUCUGAGAGGAUGAUCAGCCACACUGGGACUGAGACACGGCCCAGACUCCUACGGGAGGCAGCAGCCAGGAAUCUUGGGCAAUGGGCGAAAGCCUGACCCAGCCACACCGUGUGAGCGAUGAAGGCCUUCGGGUCGUAAAGCUCUGUUGAUAGGGACGAAGGAGAAGGGUUAAUAGCCCUAACCUGACGGUACCUUWGGAGUAAGCCCCGGCUAACUACGUGCCAGCAGCCGCGGUAAUACGGAGGGUGCAAGCGUUGUCCGGAUUUAUUGGGUGUAAAGGGUGUGUAGGUGGCUCGGUAAGUCUGUCGUGAAAUCCUGAAGCUCAACCGCGGAAGUGCCAUGGAUACUGGCGGGCUAGAGAAUGGUAGAGGCGGGUGGAAUGGCCGGUGUAGCGGUGAAAUGCACAGAUACCGUCCGGAACACCAAUAGCGUAGGCGGCUGCCUGGGCCACUUCUGACACUGAGGCACGAAAGCUAGGGGAGCGAACAGGAUUAGAUACCCUGGUAGUCCUAGCCGUAAACGAUGGACACUAGGUGUGGGGGGAGUCGAAUCCCUCUGUGCCGCAGCCAACGCGUUAAGUGUCCCGCCUGGGGAGUACGGCCGCAAGGCUAAAACUCAAAAGAAUUGACGGGGGCCCGCACAAGCAGCGGAGCAUGUUCUUUAAUUCGAUGCAACGCGAAGAACCUUACCUAGGCUAGACAUGGUGCGCGUGAGCGCUUGAGAGAACAGUGUUUCCUUCGGGACAGCAAGCAAGGUGCUGCAUGGCCGUCGUCAGCUCGUGCCGUGAGGUGUUGGGUUAAGUCCCGCAACGAGCGCAACCCCUACUUUUAGUUGCCAUCGGGUUAAGCCGGGGACUCUAGACAGACUGCCUGCGCAAGCAGUGAGGAAGGCGGGGACGACGUCAGGUCAUCAUGGCUCUUACGUCUAGGGCUACACACGUGCUACAAUGGCCGGUACAAAGGGUCGCUAGUGCGCGAGCAGAAGCCAAUCCCAUCAAAACCGGUCUCAGUUAGGAUCGCAGUCUGCAACUCGACUCCGUGAAGCUGGAAUCACUAGUAAUCGCGUAUCAGCAAUGACGCGGUGAAUACGUUCCCGGGCCUUGUACACACCGCCCGUCAAGCCAUGGAAGUCUGGUAGACCUGAAGCUGGUGCUCGUCACCCCUUGAAGCCAGUUAGGGUAGAACAGGUAACUGGGGCU
RNAcentral lists this ribosomal RNA (1466 nucleotides) under uncultured bacterium. RNAcentral's name for it is "bacterial SSU rRNA". It matches the Rfam family "Bacterial small subunit ribosomal RNA". The record is from RNAcentral.